UACGAACUGUGCGAACGUUAUUCGGAAUCACUGGGCUUACAGGGUGCGUAGGCGGCUUGUUAAGUAGGGUGUGAAAGCCCCCGGCUCAACCGGGGAAUUGCGCCCUAAACUGGCGAGCUAGAGUGAGAUAGGGGUAUGUGGAACUUCCGGUGGAGCGGUGAAAUGUGUUGAUAUCGGAAGGAACGCCGGUGGCGAAAGCGACAUACUGGAUCUUGUCUGACGCUGAGGCACGAAAGCCAGGGGAGCGAACGGG
This 253-nucleotide ribosomal RNA is filed under the name uncultured bacterium. RNAcentral describes it as "partial 16S ribosomal RNA". It matches the Rfam family "Bacterial small subunit ribosomal RNA", at positions 524 to 776 of the family's 1533-position model. The record is from RNAcentral.